GUUGUUUUGUUUGGUUGGUUUGUGUUCUGUCACCUUUUUAGCACCCAGUUUCUGAAUCCUUUCUUCCAAUUUUUGGUUAUUAGCUUUUUGAGGUGGAAGGAUCCUCGCUCACAGCCUUUUCUCCCUGCAGCGCUUUCUUUCGAUGCAGAACGAGCCCCAGGCACCCCAGCAGGCCGCACGCUUCUCUUUCGCGGUGGAUGAGGUCGCCUGCAGAUCCAGGCUGGGCCUUAUGGGCUGCCCAGGCGGAGCGGGACUUCCCGGUCAUCGUCAUCCUCCGCUCCCCGCGCUCAGCCUGGCCCGAGCUCGGCUUCCCCAGCCCCUGUCCACCGCCCACCUGCUGAGGAGCAGCAGAGUGCUGUGUCACUCAGGAGUUGGGGACCCCUGACCCAGCCCAACCGCCCUCGUGCGCUGUGCAGAAAGCGCCAUUCUCCAUUUCAAGAUGCCUUUGCCGUUUUGACAGAUGCAAACUGACCCCUCUCGAGGCCACGGCAGAAGGGGAAUCGUGACUGUCUGAAGCCUGGAAGACUGCCCUCAAUUAAGGAAA
This 544-nucleotide long non-coding RNA is filed under the name Lynx canadensis (Canada lynx). RNAcentral describes it as "lncRNA (ENSLCNG00005011071.1)". Lineage: Eukaryota; Metazoa; Chordata; Mammalia; Carnivora; Felidae. The record is from RNAcentral.